Molecule: ribosomal RNA, 408 nt
Filed under: uncultured bacterium
Lineage: Bacteria
Description: partial 16S ribosomal RNA
Rfam family: Bacterial small subunit ribosomal RNA
Source: RNAcentral
GACGAACGCUGGCGGCGUGCCUAAUACAUGCAAGUCGACCUUAGUGGCGAACGGGUGAGUAACACGUGGGUAACCUGCCCAUCAGACGGGGAUAACACUUGGAAACAGGUCCUAAUACCGCAUACUGAUGGAUGGACCGGGGGUGCAUUAGCUAGUUGGUGAGGUAACGGCUCACCAAGGACACGACGCAUAGCAGACCGGAGAGGGUGAUCGGCCACAUUGGGACUGAGACACGGACCAAACUCGUACGGGAGGCAGCAGUAGGGAAUCUUCGGAAAUGGACGAAAGUCUGACCGAGCAACGCCGCGGGAGUAAAGAAGGUUUUCGGAUCGUAAAACUCUGUUGUUAGAGAAGCGGUAUCUAACCAGAAAGCCACGGCUAACUACGUGCCAGCAGCCGCGGUAAUAC